GAUGUCUGCACUCCCAUGUUCACUGCAGCACUAUGCACUAUUCAACUUAUGGAAUCAACCAAAGUGUUCAUCAACAGAUGAAUGGACAAAGAAAAUGUGACAUAUAUACACAGCCCGUAAAUACCACUCAGCCUUUAAAAAGAAAGAAAUUUUGUCAUUUGCAGCAACAUUGGAUGGAAUGAGAGAACAUUAUGCUAAGUGAAAUAAGCCAGGUACAGAAGGACAAAUACUGCAU
This 235-nucleotide long non-coding RNA is filed under the name Homo sapiens (human). Its description in RNAcentral is "non-protein coding lnc-RPGRIP1L-2:1". The record is from RNAcentral. Lineage: Eukaryota; Metazoa; Chordata; Mammalia; Primates; Hominidae.